GGUGCUAUAGUGUAGUGGUUAUCACUCAGGAUUUUGAUGGGUCAAAUCCAGGCACACUUCGUUUCCUGAAACCCAUGUUCGAGCCAUGGUAGCACCU
This is a non-coding RNA of Phlegmacium glaucopus, 97 nucleotides long. Lineage: Eukaryota; Fungi; Basidiomycota; Agaricomycetes; Agaricales; Cortinariaceae. The record is from the annotation of a GenBank genome assembly.